Molecule: transfer RNA, 72 nt
Filed under: Lampris guttatus (North Atlantic opah)
Lineage: Eukaryota; Metazoa; Chordata; Actinopteri; Lampriformes; Lampridae
Description: tRNA-Lys
Rfam family: tRNA
About the family: Transfer RNA (tRNA) molecules are approximately 80 nucleotides in length. Their secondary structure includes four short double-helical elements and three loops (D, anti-codon, and T loops).
Source: RNAcentral
CAUUAGGAAGCUAAACAAACGCAGCAUUAGCCUUUUAAGCUAAAGAUUGGUGGUUAGCCCCACCCCUAGUGA